GUGCUUGCUUCAGGAGCACAUACACUAAAAUUGGAAUGGUACAGAGAAGAUCAGCAUGGUCCUUGCACAAGGAUGACACACAAACUUCCGAAGCAUUCCAUAUUUUU
Small nuclear RNA from Cynocephalus volans (Philippine flying lemur), 107 nucleotides. The record is from RefSeq and is a predicted model, not a curated record. Lineage: Eukaryota; Metazoa; Chordata; Mammalia; Dermoptera; Cynocephalidae.